This is a long non-coding RNA of Acinonyx jubatus (cheetah), 2310 nucleotides long. RefSeq lists it as uncharacterized. The record is from RefSeq and is a predicted model, not a curated record. NCBI's taxonomy places the organism in Eukaryota, Metazoa, Chordata, Mammalia, Carnivora, Felidae. The transcript is spliced from 5 exons.
AUGUGUAUUCACAUAGCACAUCUCUAUAUGAAACUCUGCAUAUACACAUACACAUGCACAUAUAUACAUAUGUACUCACAUAUUUGUGUGUGUGUGUGUGUGUGUAAGUGACAGUCAGACUUCCAUGAUCUAAGAUACUAUGGCACGAGUUAAAAUAUUCCCAGGAAUUUGCUUUUGAUAACAGCAAAAAUUCACAGCCAGUCAUUCUAAUUCACUCUCCACCCCCCAAUCUCACACUGUUGUACUAGAAACUAAAUAUAUAAGCAUAUUUAUAUUUCAGAGAUGAAGCAAAUUUACCUGAUUAAAAUUUAACAGCUUACAUAAAUAUUUAAUAUAAUAAUGCUUACAUUAAAGGUUUUUCUAUCUCAGUUUGCAACAUAUUAAAUAGGAAAAAAACCUCUAAAAAAUAUUCAGGUCUACAUUUCUAAAAAUAAUUCUUUGCAAAGAGGAUUAAAAUAAUUUCCCGUUUCUUUGCAAAAGAAGAAUUUAUUAUCCUUUAAAGUUUGCUAUUUUAUUCAUAUUUCUUUUUGUAGAUUUCAAGUUUGCAAAAGCACCACACACAACAUGUUCAUGGUCCUUUAUUUUUAUUUUUAUUUUAUUUUAGGGAUAGUCUAUAUUCCGCAUUAUUACGUGAGGAAAAGUAAGCCAAGAAGACUGUAGCUGCUGAUAUUUGGAACAAGGUAUCAGUGACUAUUUAAACGAAGUGAGCAUCUCGAUACAUGAGCUAACAAGGAAGUAGCCAUUAUUGGGAAUAAUAUACUAAUCACAUUCCCAUUUAUAACCUCUUAUCAACCACAUCAUUUUUCUGAAGCUACAUCUGAGUUGAUUAAACAAAUCAAAAUGUCAUUAGAAAUUUCUCCCAGGUUCUUUUACAUCUGCAAGUCUUAACCAUGUUUAGUACUUCUCAGAAAUUGCUUUCUGUUUUGGGGAGCACUGACUUUAUUCAGAUGAUGGUUUGCUGAUCAAUUAUUAGAUCAAAGUUUAGUUGCUUCAUACCAUUUCCCCUUUUCUUGGAUCAGUUCUUCUAAUGCCCUUUAUUUUGUUCUUCAGCACUAUCAUUGUCUGAAUAAGUAGUAGAACCUAAAGUAAUGGAACUGAAAGAAAUAUCGAUAAUUAUUUUCUUAAAGCCUCACGUUGCACAGAAACCAUGCAAAUCUAGUAAUUGUCCAGUAUUUAUCAAAUGAGCACCUGUCCCAGGAUAUGUCAAUAAGAUCUAUAAUGAAAGAAUUUUGUGGUGCAAUUGCUUCUUGGAGAUUUGCAAUGCAUAAUAAUUUACUGAAGGCUCUAAGAAACCCUGAACAAGGAAAUCAGUCUUUGUUUAAUCCAAUUUUUCUCAAAUUUAUUGGCCAUGGAAAUCAUUUACUCGAUCAGGAACCUUUGAAAUGCUGUGGUCUCAUCAAAUACGGGUAUCUGCAAUCUUCCUUAUACUGUGCUGCCAUUCCUGUUUAUCAUGUGUGUGACUUGACUAUUGACCUAGUCUGAUAUUUAUCACGUCCAGCUGGCCUCGUUCACCCCCGUUCCAUCACUACUGCUGGAAUGACAUCCCUGCUGGUCACUGACAUCUCAUUUCAAAUAUCAUCAGCAGUCUUCUUGGCUUGUGAAAAAUGGAAAAAUAUGGGAAAUGACUAAAACUAUGACUCCCAUCUGCUUUUGCUGUCACACUGUCACUUCAGACUGUUUGUCACCGAGAACGUGAUGAGCAUACUCUGGCUGUGAAUUAGAAGGGCCUGGUCCUGCACUCCCAACCUACUAACCAUCUGGGACAGGCGGUGGAGGAGGAAAUUAUUUUAAGCAUGAGUUUUAAGAACCAAAGAAACUGGAGAAGGAAUAAAAAUAGCAUUAACAUAUGACAAUUUGGAAGGGAAGUGGGAAAAUGCCAAAAAUCAGAGGUUGUCAACCAAGAGAAUUUUGGUUCCAAAAUAUAUUAAUUGCACCAAAGAAGAAUCGUUCCUCUAAGAGGUUCUGUGUUUGCAAUCCUCAAAAUCCUUACAUCUCUAAGUGAGAUCAGAGGACGAGCAGCGUCAGCGACAGUAGGGAGCUCUCACUGGAAAUGCAGCAUUCCGGGUGCAUCCCAGCCAGACCGAGCCAGAGUCUGCAUUUGACAAGACCCCCUAGGGGACCCAUGUGCACAUCCAAGGAUUCCAGUUGCCCUCUGAAUAACAUCUAGAGCUGAGUUAAUCUGUUUGUAAUUGGCUGAAGUUACAUGUGUGGGGUCAGAGACAGCCGGUUGCCUGUGACUAUCUGGCACCCCCUCCUCCUCAGUGACAGAUUCCUGGUUUGCUUCGAGGUGGCCUCGACCCUACAAUUAGC